Ochotona princeps (American pika) is the source of this 407-nucleotide long non-coding RNA. RefSeq lists it as uncharacterized. The record is from RefSeq and is a predicted model, not a curated record. The transcript is spliced from 3 exons. Lineage: Eukaryota; Metazoa; Chordata; Mammalia; Lagomorpha; Ochotonidae.
GUACACAAUGUUUAUAAUUCCAGGCAAGUGGAAAGAGCAAGUUUCCUCUAUAAUGUAAUUGUACACUUUCUACUUUUAUGAUGACAUACCGGUGCAGCUCUGAAGUAUACCACUUCCAGGGCUGGUCCCUGAAACCACCUAUAAAACCAUCCCGACUCUCUCUUCCCUUAUUUGCUGGCUGGGUGCACAGAACUCCAAGACUCUAGAGAAUGAUGGAGUUCCUCAAUGCAAGGACCUCUGACCAUGCAUGACUGCAAAGAGAGUUACGAGGGACCAGUACUGUGGUGCCAACAUCCCAUACUAAAGUACCAGUCCAGUCCUGGCUGAUCUGCUUCUAAUUCAACUUCCUGCUAACCUCCUUGUGAAGGCAGCAGAAAUUGGACCCUGCUAACCAGGUGGUAGACAUC